Long non-coding RNA from Amyelois transitella, 1043 nucleotides. RefSeq lists it as uncharacterized. The transcript has 2 exons. NCBI's taxonomy places the organism in Eukaryota, Metazoa, Arthropoda, Insecta, Lepidoptera, Pyralidae. The record is from RefSeq and is a predicted model, not a curated record.
CGAAAGAAAAAUGGUUCAGAUUUCAUGAAGACCUCAUUUUCCACUUUUAAAAGUACCAAUUAUUUUAUUAUUAUACUUUACCUUUUAAAUAAACAGGAUUUUAAUGUUUCUUUUACUUUAUAUUAAAAUAAGUUAUUUCUUUGGCCUAACCAAUAUCAAAAUGUCUUCUCCUGUAGACUGUUCGGAUACCUAGCUGCUCACUUUAAAAGAUGUUAAAAAAUAUUUCCCAAAAGCAAAUAAAUUAGUCAUCAUUAUUGUCACAGUGUAGGAAGAAUACAGCUAUCCAAAUAUGAACGGUCAUUAAUUUAUCAUUUUACAAACAAUAAUUAAGACACAUAAACAUACUGUUCCAAUAUUUGCAGUCUUCUCCUGUAGACACAUAAAAAUCCAAAAUUUUUAAGUAUUUUGAACGCAUCCUUUGAGUUAAAUUUGUUGUGUUGGCAUUACUGCGUUAGCUGUCAUUCAUUCGUCCAUAACACUGAGUAAUGGCGUCUCUUUUAGUGAAAAAUAAUAAUUUAAUAGGAUACACAAGAUUUUGGUCGACUUUUGAAGAUCUUUUCUGUAUUUUGCAUAAAUUGUCAUCAUGCCACGUACCGGCAGAAGUAGGAUUCAGCUUUCGGAUGAAGAGAAAAAAAAGCGUAGGCGUGAACAAAAGAAGCUUAGUAUUCGACGUGCACGCGCCAAAAUGGACGAAGCAGCAUUAGAAGAAAGAAGAAGGCAGGACAGAGAAAGAUAUUACCGUAAAAAGGAACAGGGUAAAAUAAAAACUAUUAAAGACUACACGCCUAGGGAACAACGAAAUAUUAGAAAAAUAUGGAGAGAAAAAGCUAAAUUAAAACGUCAGAAGAUAAAAAAUGCCAAAAAUGCUUUGAAUUUUAUUGAACAGAAUACUCCACCAUCUAGUCCCUCCUUUUCACGUAUGAAUGUUGGUAACGCGACUUUGAAGCGCAACGCACGAAAAUUACGGAAUGAAAAUAGAAGUCUCAAACAAAGAAUACUUUUCUUGGAAUCUAAAAUGGCAAAAUAUCGUAUGAGAGCUUUAA